Molecule: ribosomal RNA, 447 nt
Filed under: uncultured bacterium
Lineage: Bacteria
Description: bacterial SSU rRNA
Rfam family: Bacterial small subunit ribosomal RNA
Source: RNAcentral
UGGGGAAUUUUGGACAAUGGGCGCAAGCCUGAUCCAGCCAUGCCGCGUGCGGGAAGAAGGCCUUCGGGUUGUAAAGCUCUUUUACCAGGGACGAUAAUGACGGUACCUGGAGAAUAAGCCCCGGCAAACUUCGUGCCAGCAGCCGCGGUAAUACGAAGGGGGCUAGCGUUGUUCGGAAUUACUGGGCGUAAAGCGCACGUAGGCGGAUUGUUAAGUCAGAGGUGAAAUCCCGGAGCUCAACUUCGGAACUGCCUUUGAUACUGGCAAUCUAGAGUCCGGAAGAGGUUAGUGGAAUUCCCAGUGUAGAGGUGAAAUUCGUAGAUAUUGGGAAGAACACCAGUGGCGAAGGCGGCUAACUGGUCCGGUACUGACACUGAGGCACGAAAGCGUGGGGAGCAAACAGGAUUAGAUACCCCAGUAGUCCCUGAGCGGGCUGGCAAGGCGCAU